GUGGGGAAUUUUGGACAAUGGGGGCAACCCUGAUCCAGCCAUGCCGCGUGCGGGAAGAAGGCCUUCGGGUUGUAAACCGCUUUUGUCAGGGAAGAAAUCCUUUGGGUUAAUACCUCGGAGGGAUGACGGUACCUGAAGAAUAAGCACCGGCUAACUACGUGCCAGCAGCCGCGGUAAUACGUAGGGUGCGAGCGUUAAUCGGAAUUACUGGGCGUAAAGCGUGCGCAGGCGGUUUUGUAAGAUCGAUGUGAAAUCCCCGGGCUCAACCUGGGAACUGCCUGGGUGACUGCAAGGCUGGAGUGCGGCAGAGGGGGAUGGAAUUCCGCGUGUAGCAGUGAAAUGCGUAGAUAUGCGGAGGAACACCGAUGGCGAAGGCAAUCCCCUGGGCCUGCACUGACGCUCAUGCACGAAAGCGUGGGGAACAAACAGGAUUAGAUACCCGAGUAGUCC
RNAcentral lists this ribosomal RNA (450 nucleotides) under uncultured bacterium. Its description in RNAcentral is "partial 16S ribosomal RNA". It matches the Rfam family "Bacterial small subunit ribosomal RNA", at positions 354 to 796 of the family's 1533-position model. The record is from RNAcentral.